Carlito syrichta (Philippine tarsier) is the source of this 545-nucleotide RNA transcript. The record is from RefSeq and is a predicted model, not a curated record. NCBI's taxonomy places the organism in Eukaryota, Metazoa, Chordata, Mammalia, Primates, Tarsiidae.
GACACAGGCCACUUCCAGCGUAGCCAAGGCGGCUAACGCUACUACCAACCCGUCGCAGCUGCUGCCGCUAGAGCUUAUAGACAAAUGUAUGGGAUCAAGAAUUCACAUCGUGAUAAAGAGUGAUAAGGAAAUUGUUGGUACUCUUCUAGGAUUUGAUGACUUUGUCAAUAUGGUACUGGAAGAUGUCACUGAGUUUGAAAUCACACCCGAAGGAAGAAGGAUUACUAAAUUAGAUCAGAUUUUGCUGAAUGGAAAUAAUAUAACAAUGCUGAUUCCUGGAGAAGAAGGACCUGAAGUGUGAAUAGGUUUCCCUGACUUAUGCUAGAGUCUGUUUCGUCUUAUAAUGGCAGCGUCAUGGAAGGUUUUUGUUUGUUUGUUUUACCUUUUUAAUAUUUUGAUCCUAUAAAGCUAAAUUUCCCAUUAAAGGGAAAUGCUUUGAAAAUAUAUACCCAUUUUUGUAAAUUAAUCAUGAUUAUCUUGGAAAAAGAAGAAGAAUUCUUCUUUGAAGACUAAAAUAAAGAUGUUUUUGGUUAAAAAAAAAAAAA